Molecule: long non-coding RNA, 170 nt
Organism: Chelonia mydas (Green sea turtle)
Lineage: Eukaryota; Metazoa; Chordata; Testudines; Cheloniidae
Exons: 3
Source: RefSeq, a predicted model, not a curated record
ACCACUUUGUCUGUUCUCCAGCCACCACACCCAAAACUCACUUAAAAUCACUACCAGUAUCUCAAAGGAAUCAGCUGUGCACAGCCCUGCUCAACUACACCACUGUGACAGGUUGGAUCACAGAAACCCACUUGGGAAAUGCCACCUGAUGUGCUGUGACUACCACUGAG